This is a long non-coding RNA of Asparagus officinalis (garden asparagus), 902 nucleotides long. RefSeq lists it as uncharacterized. The record is from RefSeq and is a predicted model, not a curated record. The transcript is spliced from 4 exons. NCBI's taxonomy places the organism in Eukaryota, Viridiplantae, Streptophyta, Magnoliopsida, Asparagales, Asparagaceae.
CUCUCUAGAACGAUCGCUAGCAACUCCUCUCGCUGAAGAAACCUCCAGCACGCGCGCUGCACCCGCAGCUUCUCCACGCAGCACCCCCGUCUCUCACCUCCCAACUCUACCAAAACCCUUGGCGGCUCCUUCGAAAAAAUAGGCCACCACCGACGGAGGAGGGUGGUGAACAUCUGGAGGCGGUGACCGGAGGAGAGUUUCACGGGGAGCAUUGAUAAUUGGGUCUGGUCACUCGCGGUGUGAUUUGUGAGAGUUUCACGGGGAGCAAAUGAGGGGUUCAAAUUUUCUUUGAUGAAUGAGGGGUUGGGAUUUCAACAAGUUAUUCAGGUUUGGUUUAUUCAAAAAAUAUUUAACAACUAUCAUUAUAUUUCCCUUUUUCUAUAAUUAUUUUGAAUGUAUAUUGUAGCAGUAUCAAGGUUUUCAAACAAAUCAACCAGGUGACUAUACAUUUCCAGUAGUAAAGCGUCCUCCUUACUAUAGUAUGAUGCAAGCAAAUUGACAAUUUUAUUUUCCUCAUCCAUUUUUGGUAUGAUCAUAAAUUAACUUGUGCUUAUAGCGAUUUGUUGACAUCUCAAAUUAGGUAUCAGUUCUCAUCAAAUAGGCAAUAUAUAUACUUGAAUGUGUAGAUACAGGAGGAUCAAGUCCAAAGAGCUCAGAGUCAUGCAGAUAAGUAGAAGUGCAGGUUAGAGGAGGUACUCUCGUAGGGAGCAGCAGUACGAUACGACGUUCUAAUGCAGACGAUGCUGUAAUAAGGAUGCCGACAACGACGAUGACGAGGAGUGAGUGAGACUUGUGUUAAGACAUAUUAUGACUUUUAAAUUUUACCUAUAUGUAAUAUAUUUGUGAUUUUAUUGCGUAGUGAAUGAAUAUUAUUUGAGCAUGCGAGAUGUAUUGUGAUUGUG